RNAcentral lists this long non-coding RNA (542 nucleotides) under Pogona vitticeps (central bearded dragon). RNAcentral's name for it is "lncRNA (ENSPVIG00000001825.1)". Lineage: Eukaryota; Metazoa; Chordata; Lepidosauria; Squamata; Agamidae. The record is from RNAcentral.
AAUUUAGCACUUUCCCAUUUAGGAUGCUUUCAGAUGAGGCUUUUCCUGGGGUAUCACACUGCCUCAUAGCCAUACAUUUUCAUCUUUAAUUUGCAUUCCUCCCAGAUGUUCCCUAAAUCUAGCUGGUGUGAAGUCUCACAUUGUCCAUCCUACCUUGACCCAUCUCCUGCUCACAGACAGAUUUAUUGAAUAUUGAUUUAUUGGAUGGACUGCAAGAGACAUGGAAAAAAGGAAGAACUGACAAGCAGAAUAUGAAAUAAAAGGGAACAUAGCUUCUGCAGCUUCACCCUGUUCCAGACGGAGCAUGGAAAUGAAGAAAACAAUGCCACAUGCCACCCCAUUCAAUGAAUCAGGAAGGCUGCUUUUGUUUAUCCUUGGUUGGAUAUAAUCUACCUUCUUCAGUGAUUCUUGAGAGACUCUGAGGAGGAGAACUCACAGGUGGGGAAAACAGUUGAUGCAGAAAUCCUUCUCAUUCUCCUUGUAAUGUCAGGCCACAAGCACAAUGAAAUAUCCUUCCUUCCUUGCAAGGUGGUGAGAAUGAU